UGACUUGGGACAGGGCUGUCUCUUCAGUCCUUACCACACCGUGGACGAGAUCAACCUUAAGACAGCACCCUGGGCUC
RNAcentral lists this small RNA (77 nucleotides) under Homo sapiens (human). RNAcentral's name for it is "nc055 non-coding RNA". Lineage: Eukaryota; Metazoa; Chordata; Mammalia; Primates; Hominidae. The record is from RNAcentral.